Molecule: RNA transcript, 15698 nt
Organism: Nerophis ophidion (straightnose pipefish)
Lineage: Eukaryota; Metazoa; Chordata; Actinopteri; Syngnathiformes; Syngnathidae
Gene name: endonuclease 8-like 1
Exons: 4
Source: RefSeq, a predicted model, not a curated record
UGAAAAACACGCAUGCGCAUUAAGUGGGCGGAUGUAAUGAUUUCGAUGGGAAGAAAUAAUAUUCAGCAUCGAAGGAAUAACAACUGAAAUCAUCCCGUCCUGCAGCAUGCACCUAUGUGAAUGUGGAGAAUGACCAGCAAUGUCCAAGGGGUAGCAGCAGGGUAACACUGCAUGAGGCGGUGCCCCCUGAAGGAGCCCAAAACACUGCUCUUCAAAUGGAACACAUCCAACCUUCAGGUGACCGUGCAGGAUGUACCACUCUGGAACAUCAAGCCUCUCCCCACCUGCCAGGUACACCCACCGUCUUCUGUGGCUGAAUAAUGUUUUGCUGUGAAUUUUGUCUCAAAGCAAAUCCUGCUCAAAUGUGACAAACUUUGGAGUGUAAGAAUGUGAGCGAUAUGCUGAGAUGUUAUACGUUUUGCCUUGUGACAAAAUGUUAUCAAAAACCUUUAGUGAUUUGUAUUCUAUUUUACUUUCAGCACAUGAAAAUAUUUCUACUUCUGACCAUCGAAGAGAAUGGAAAACCAUUUUCCAGAUCAGCCCUCAUACAUCCUCCUGAUGGCCUAACAACUGAAUGACAUGUCGAUGCUGAGUAUGAUCCAUUUCAAUCAUUUGAGGAAGCUCUCCCUGAUAUAGGGGAUUGGAUGUACAAUGACGGACAUACGUUUAAUGAAGGAUUUGAAGAUGGUUUGAGUGAGGAGUGUGCAGAAGAGUCCAAUUUCAAGGACACAACAGACAAACCAAUACAUGACAAUGCAUCAGAAACCAUGGCAGAGUGCCUUCUGAUCAGCAUGGGUUAUGUAAACUGUCCUAAAGUCACAGGUAAGGCCCUAAGCCAUAUGCUCAAAAUGUUCAAGUUGCUUUAUCCCGAUAGUCUGAACACAGACUGCUUAAACAGUGUGCAGAAGUUCCAAAACUUUUUUUUAUCCCACUCUGCAUCAUCGCCUACUAUAUUACAUAAAUCCUCCAAGAAUUGUUUUGGGCCAAUAGAAAGUAAACAAAUAAAAUGCCUGCUUUGUGGGACCAGUGUGUCAGAAGAAAGGUUCUAAUCCUUUUUUUAAAGUAUGUACAGAUUGAUUUCUUGUUUACCACAGCACAUUCAUGUGCCAAAUGGGCCCUCGUUGGUGAAUAUAAACAUGCAGGUUUUUCUUUGCUGCAAGAUAGUGUAACAUAUGAGACAUGCAGUCAUGUUAUUCCCCUAUUGGAAACCUCUGCAGUACAGUAGUAUUCUUGGAUGACAUAUUGGGUAAAGUUGUUUUCCUUGACUUCACAUCUAUGCCUGGCAUAGUGAUUGCAGUUCAUUUCCCCAACACACUUGAAAAGUUUGAAAUAAUGAAGAACUGAACUGGCCUAAGAAGCCACAAAUCAAAUCUUUAAUCAUUGUUAUAAAUGCUCUGAAAAUACACACUGAUGUGAUGUUGCCGUGGAUUCUGUAAAUAUGUACUGUAUAUGGAGUAUCAUUGUUGAUGAUGUUUUUGCAUUGUGUGUAAUAUUUCAGUGGCAAAUAUAUUACAUUUACUUGUUUAAUAAAGCCACUGUCCUUUUUAAUGAAUACAUAGGCCUACUAUGCUACUGUAUUUUAAUAUUAGUCCUUAUGAUGGUGGUUGGAGAGCCAAAUAUCUUCUGAAGUGGUACUUUGUUAAAAGAGUUUGAGAACCACUGCUCUAGAAAGUUCACAAAUGUUAAAAGCUCUUAAAAAGUGUCUUGUGAUCAUAUCAGUAUUGUUUGGGUUCAGUUUUAAAUCUCACAAUUGUAGUCACUGAGUUACUGUACAUGACGUGUGGAUAAGAAAUCAACAAAUUAAGUCCAACUUUAUUUAAAUAAACCAUUUAGAUUACAGACCAUAUAUCCAUAUUGUCUGAAUUCAUUAUUUUCUCCCAAUGUUGGCAUGAGAUCAACUGGAAUAUGAUUGAGGUAUAACUAAAUUGAGCCCAUUAAAAUGCAUUUUUUUAGAAAACGGGUAUAUCUAACAACUCAAAUAGUGAGCAGUGAGAGACAAAACCAAGUAUAUCUCUCACUGAGACAUCAUUGAGACAUAUUGACACCAAUACUCAUCAAUUGUCUUUUUGCCGAAAUAGAAAAGAGACAUCUGAGAACUCAAACAGUGAGUAGUGAGAAACAAAACCAGGUGUUUCUCUCACUGAGUCAUAAUUGAGACAUAUUGGAGACCAGCUCAUUCAUCUCUCAUUUUGGUCUUAGUUGAAAUGGGGAAAAGAGAUAACUAUUAGACAACUAUGAGAUCUCUCAUAGUGCUCACUGUGAGCCUUAUUUCUCAGGAGAUACAUUUGAGAAGAAUGAGAAAACUACUUUGGUCUCCAUUAGUGCUCUUUUAUGUCUAGGAGAUAGAUAUAAGACAUACAUGAGAUCUCAUCUUCAAUUUUGCUUUGCUAUGGGAAACACGUGUUUGAUGAGCAUUCCUCAACUUUUUCGGUCUUUUUUGACACUCGUGCCAGCUUUUUUUAAGCAUGUUGCAGGCAUCAAAUUCCAAAAUGAGCUAAUAUUUGCAAAAAAAAAAGUUUCUCAGAUCCAACAUCAAAUAUCUUGUCUUUGCAGUCUAUUCAAUUGAAUAUAAGUUAAAAAGGAUUUACAAAUCAUUGUAUUCUGUUUUUAUUUACCAUUUACACAACGUGCUACUUCACUGGUUUGGGGUUUUGUACAUGUUGACAGUACAUUGCAGUGUUAUUUUGUUACAGCCGUGCCCACUGUGUGAAGUACUUUUGCAAGACUCCUAGCAAUAAUAAUACACUUCACCAAAGAGCCUGCUGUAAAAGAAAUGACCAUUGAAUGAAGAUACAUACUCAGGUCACCGUGAUCUGAAAAGGAGAGUGAAGAAUGUUUUUGUAUUCCCCAGAUUCUAAUCAUCUUGGAUGAAUAAACAAGCAAUUCCUAAUUUCACUUGGAAAUGUGUUUACUAUAAAAGUGUAGCACUGUUUCCACACAAAAUACCUUCUGUUUUUGGAAAGAUGCCCAUGUGUGUCUUCCAGGUUGAACAUUCCACCCUUUGUGCCUGCCCGGACUGUGCUGGAAGGCCUCGAGUCAGAGGAUGCGUGUGAAGACAAGAAAGCUGUAAAAAAGGAGAUCCAUAGCAAAAAGGUCAAAUAAGUACAAACAAGUAUUUUACCUCGAUUAUUAACAGUUUAUUUUGCCCAAAAAUGUUAAGGGAGCCAAAAAGGACAAAAUGGAAGAGGAGAAUACAGACCUGCUCAGACUUUGCCACACAGUACCGCUGGAGGUGGUGAACUUAGGUAAGAAUCCAUGUUUCAAGGUUGAUCGGGGUGGGGGGAAGACAACGACACAAAGGUGCUCCUCUUAUUUAGACUUUUUGUUUAUGGAGGUGGGAAAGGUUACGAUCCAGAGAAGAAAGACUACUCAGGUUUUGAGGCCUGGUUGCAGUGUUACUAUGUGGAUGGAAUGAAGUCUGUACGCGACCACAAUGGCAGGACUAUGUGGUUCAAAGUAUGCAAACACAUUUUCAUACGUAACAACUAUAUUUGUAGCACGUAUUGACUAAUAGAAAAUGGUGUCAUUUCAGGGCGAUCCAGGUCCUAUGGCUCCUAAAGGUAAACGCCAGAAAAAAUAGUUGAGAUACCAUUACACAUAAGAGAAAGCUUAGUGUGUCUUUAUCUUUUCUCACACACCAGAAUCAAAGUCUCCAAAGGCCAAAAAGAGAAAAGAUACAGAUGCAGACCAUGAUUACCCCCGCAAGAAAAAGGUAUAUUCAGUAGGUAAUCACCACCAGCACAUAGAAAUCUAACCCCAUUGUGGCUGUACUUCAGGUGUCCAGGAAACACAACUCUGACAGCACAGUGAAGAAAAAAGCAGCCAAAAAGCCCACAAAAGCAGCAAAGGAAGAAGAAAAUGGACCUCAAGAAGAAGCCACACCCAGAAGAAGAUCAGCAAACACACCUCAGCAAGAACCGAAAUCCACGUCAGGCAGGAGGAAAAAGAACAAUACAGAGCCAGCUGCAGGUCUGAUUCUAAUAAUACUCCCAUUUUCUGAAAAUAUUAAGAGCCUGAUCUUUGAGGAUCCAAUUCCCACACACUUAUCUGUGUGCGCAAACUAUAAAAUUGCAUGUACUGUUGGUGGACGUGUUGUAUGUGAUCUACUUUGUGCAAUUGAUAGCAGCAAAAGUGGCACAGAUCACCCUAUUUUUGUGUACUAGAAGCAUUAUGUGCCCUUGGAAACACUUCUUUCCCUCUACAUUCAUGUUAUUAUGCUCUCCACACUGGAGGGGGGCUUAUAUUAGAUUAUAGCACAUAUCGAUCAUCUAACACCUUUUCUGCAAUAUAGAAUCACAGUAUGUAUACUAUUUGCAGCAGGAAUGAUCAAACUGCAUAUUGCAAGACAUUUUUUUUAGGAGUUAUACUAAAUACAAAAAAAAAAACGCAACGCUUUUGUUCUUGUUCCCAAUUUAAAUGAACUCAAAGAUCGAAAACUUUGACUAUAAACACAAAAUACCUGUUCCUCUCAAAUAUUGUUCACAAAUCUGUAUACAUUUGUUAGUGAGCAUUUUUUCUUUGCCAAGAUAAUCCAUCCCACCUGACAGGUGUGCCUUGAGCUGUCCAAAAUAAAAGGCCACUGUGAAAUGUGCAGUUUUAUCACACAACACAAUGCUUCAGAUGUCGCACGUUUUGAGGGAGCGUGCAGUAGGCAUGCUGACUGCAGCAAUGUCCACCAGAGCUGUUGCCCGUCAAUUAAAUGUUUAUUUCUCCGCCAUAAGAAUAGAAUAGAAUAGAAAGUACUUUAUUGAUCCCUGGGGGAAAUUCAGCACCACAGUUCGCUCACAAUAAACAAUGAUAAUAAUAAAUAAUAUAAUAUAUAUGAAUAAUAUAAAUAUAUUCUACAUUUAAGUGCAGUCAAGGAACAUAUGCAUUAUACAGUCUGAUGGCUGUCGGUGUGAAGGACCUCCUGUGUCGUUCCGUGUUGCAUUUUGGGAGUCUGAGCCUUCCACUGAAUGUGCUCAUUCUCUCUGCAAGGUCCGAGUGUAGUGGGUGGGAGGUGUUGUCCAUAAUGGCUAGGAGUUUUGCUAGACUUCUCUCUGACACCACCGCCAGAGAGUCCAGCUCCACUCCCAUCUUGUUACUGGCCUUCUCUACCAACUUGUCCAGUCUGUAUGUGUCCCUCACUCUCAGCCCGCUGCCCCAGCAGGCCACGGCGUACAAGAGGGCGCCUGCCACCAGUGACUCGUAGAACAUCUUCAACAUCUUUGUACAGACGUUGAAGGAUCCUAGCCUCCAAAGGAAAUAUAGAUUCGGCUCUGUCCCUUCUUGUAGAGGGCCUCAGCGUGUUUUGACCCAUUCAGCUUGUUGUCCAUGUGUACUCCUAGGUAUUUAUAAUCCUCUACCAUGUACACAUCCACCCCUUUGAUGGAAAGAGGGGUCGCCAGAGUACUCCUCCUCCUUCCCAGGUCCACAACCAGCUCCUUGGUCUCCGUAACAUUGAGCUGGAGGUGGUUCUUUCCACACCAUGUGACAAAGUCCUCCACCAGUGUCCUGUAUUCCUCGUCAUCACCUUCCUCAAUACACCCCACUAUCGCAGAGUCAUCAGAAAACUUCUGAAGGUGGCAGGACUCUGACUGAUAGUGGAAAUGGGUGGUGUAAAUGGUGUAGAGGAAGGGGGAAGAGUACUGUAGCCUCCGGGGCCCCGGUGUUGCUGACCAGCCUGUCAGACACACAGUCCUGCAGUGGCAUAUACUGUGGUCUGUCAGUCAGGUAAUCUACAACCCAGGACACCAAGGGGGCCUCCACCUGCAUCUUCUCCAACUUCACACCCAGUAGCCCAGGCCGUUUAGUAUAAGCCGCCUCCAAAGGUGUUUCAGAGAAUUUGGCAAUACAUCCAACUGGCCUCACAGCCGCAGACCAUAUUGAUUGGCUGAGACCUGCCACCCGGACAGCUGCUACAACAAUUGGUUUGCUUAACCAUAGCAUUUCUGCACAAACUGUAAGAAACUACCAUGAAUUGAUUAACGUGGACCCCGACUUAAACAAGUUGAAAAACGUAUUGGGGUGUUACCAAUUAGUGGUCAAUUGUACGGAAUAUGUACUGAACUGUGCAAUCUACUAAUAAAAGUAUCAAUCAAUCAAUCUGUCUCAAGAAAGCUCAUCUGCAUGCUCGUGGUCCUCAUCGGGGUCUCGACCUAACUGCAGUUUGUCUUCUUAACCAACUUGAGUGGGCAAAUGCUCACACUCAAUGGCGUCUGGCACAAUACAGAGGUUUUGGUAUGUUAUUAUUGACAGCGAAACCACGUGCAUUUUAUUGAUGGCAUUUUCCAUGCGCAGAGAUACCGUCACGAGACCCUGAGCCCCAUUGUUGUACUAAUCACCCGAGGCCAUCACCUUUAUAAAUAACAUUUACUAACUCAUGUUGCAAGGAUCUGGAAGCUAAAAACAUCCCAGUUCUUGCAUGACCAGCAUACUCACCGGACAUGUCACCCAGUAAGUAAUUUUUGAGAGGAAUAUAUAUUUUCUGUAUAGUAAAAGUUUCAGAUCAUGGGGAGCAAAAACAAAAGUGUUGCGUUUAUAUAUUUGUUCAAUACCAUAUUUUUCGGAGUAUAAGUCGCACCUGCCGAAAAUGCAUAAUAAAGAAGGAAAAAAACCAUACAAGUCGCACUGGAGUAUAAGUCGCAUUUUUGGGGGGAAAUUUAUUUGAUAAAACCAGACGGCAAGAAUAGACAUUUGAAAGGCAAUUUGAAAUAAAUCAAGAAUAGUGAAGAAUAGGCUGAAUAAGUGUAGGUUAUAUGAGGCAUAAAUAAGCAACUGCUAUGUUAAGCUAACAUAUUAUGGUAAGAGUCAUUCAAAUAACUAGAACAUAUAGAACAUGUUAUACCUUUAACAAACUAUCUCUCACUCCUAAUCCAUAAAUCCCAUAAAAUCUUAUACGUCUAGUCUCUUACGUCAAUGAGAUAAAUAAUAUUGAUAUUUUACGGUAAUGUAUUAAUAAUUUCACACAUAAGUCGCUCCUGAAUAUAAGUCGCACCCCCGGCCAAACUAUGAAAAAAAAACUGCUACUUAUAGUCCGAAAAAUACGGUGCAUAUUUUCUAAAUCAAAAAAGGAAUACCAUUAAAAAACAACAUAAAUUAAUAGACUUUGGUUUAAUCGGCCCUUUAAGUUGUCCAGCAGCUAUAAAAUGAUAUUGCUGAAUAUAUAUCUUCUUCUUUUUAUUUCUAACAGUCCAAAUAUGACAUGCACACGUAGAACAAAGGCUUCUCUGUUCAGUUGUCUUUGCAGCGUGAUGGCCUCCUUUCUCACAGCCCUGUGUGCAACUAUGUCAGUUGUCUUUGCAGCGUGAUGGCCUCCUUUCUCACAGCCCUGUGUGCAACUAUGUCAGUUGUCUUUGCAGCGUGAUGGCCUCCUUUCUCACAGCCCUGUGUGCAACUAUGUCAGUUGUCUUUGCAGCGUGAUGGCCUCCUUUCUCACAGCCCUGUGUGCAACUAUGUCAGUUGUCUUUGCAGCGUGAUGGCCUCCUUUCUCACAGCCCUGUGUGCAACUAUGUCAGUUGUCUUUGCAGCGUGAUGGCCUCCUUUCUCACAGCCCUGUGUGCAACUAUGUCAGUUGUCUUUGCAGCGUGAUGGCCUCCUUUCUCACAGCCCUGUGUGCAACUAUGUCAGUUGUCUUUGCAGCGUGAUGGCCUCCUUUCUCACAGCCCUGUGUGCAACUAUGUCAGUUGUCUUUGCAGCGUGACGGCCUCCUUUCUCACAGCCCUGUGUGCAACUAUGUCAGUUGUCUUUGCAGCGUGAUGGCCUCCUUUCUCACAGCCCUGUGUGCAACUAUGUCAGUUGUCUUUGCAGCGUGAUGGCCUCCUUUCUCACAGCCCUGUGUGCAACUAUGUCAGUUGUCUUUGCAGCGUGAUGGCCUCCUUUCUCACAGCCCUGUGUGCAACUAUGUCAGUUGUCUUUGCAGCGUGAUGGCCUCCUUUCUCACAGCCCUGUGUGCAACUAUGUCAGUUGUCUUUGCAGCGGCGUGAUGGCCUCCUUUCUCACAGCCCUGUGUGCAACUAUGUCAGUUGUCUUUGCAGCGUGAUGGCCUCCUUUCUCACAGCCCUGUGUGCAACUAUGUCAGUUGUCUUUGCAGCGUGACGGCCUCCUUUCUCACAGCCCUGUGUGCAACUAUGUCAGUUGUCUUUGCAGCGUGAUGGCCUCCUUUCUCACAGCCCUGUGUGCAACUAUGUCAGUUGUCUUUGCAGCGUGAUGGCCUCCUUUCUCACAGCCCUGUGUGCAACUAUGUCAGUUGUCUUUGCAGCGUGAUGGCCUCCUUUCUCACAGCCCUGUGUGCAACUAUGUCAGUUGUCUUUGCAGCGUGAUGGCCUCCUUUCUCACAGCCCUGUGUGCAACUAUGUCAGUUGUCUUUGCAGCGUGAUGGCCUCCUUUCUCACAGCCCUGUGUGCAACUAUGUCAGUUGUCUUUGCAGCGUGAUGGCCUCCUUUCUCACAGCCCUGUGUGCAACUAUGUCAGUUGUCUUUGCAGCGGCGUGAUGGCCUCCUUUCUCACAGCCCUGUGUGCAACUAUGUCAGUUGUCUUUGCAGCGUGAUGGCCUCCUUUCUCACAGCCCUGUGUGCAACUAUGUCAGUUGUCUUUGCAGCGUGAUGGCCUCCUUUCUCACAGCCCUGUGUGCAACUAUGUCAGUUGUCUUUGCAGCGUGAUGGCCUCCUUUCUCACAGCCCUGUGUGCAACUAUGUCAGUUGUCUUUGCAGCGUGAUGGCCUCCUUUCUCACAGCCCUGUGUGCAACUAUGUCAGUUGUCUUUGCAGCGUGAUGGCCUCCUUUCUCACAGCCCUGUGUGCAACUAUGUCAGUUGUCUUUGCAGCGUGAUGGCCUCCUUUCUCACAGCCCUGUGUGCAACUAUGUCAGUUGUCUUUGCAGCGUGAUGGCCUCCUUUCUCACAGCCCUGUGUGCAACUAUGUCAGUUGUCUUUGCAGCGUGAUGGCCUCCUUUCUCACAGCCCUGUGUGCAACUAUGUCAGUUGUCUUUGCAGCGUGAUGGCCUCCUUUCUCACAGCCCUGUGUGCAACUAUGUCAGUUGUCUUUGCAGCGUGAUGGCCUCCUUUCUCACAGCCCUGUGUGCAACUAUGUCAGUUGUCUUUGCAGCGUGAUGGCCUCCUUUCUCACAGCCCUGUGUGCAACUAUGUCAGUUGUCUUUGCAGCGUGAUGGCCUCCUUUCUCACAGCCCUGUGUGCAACUAUGUCAGUUGUCUUUGCAGCGUGAUGGCCUCCUUUCUCACAGCCCUGUGUGCAACUAUGUCAGUUGUCUUUGCAGCGUGAUGGCCUCCUUUCUCACAGCCCUGUGUGCAACUAUGUCAGUUGUCUUUGCAGCGUGAUGGCCUCCUUUCUCACAGUCCUGUGUGCAACUAUGUCAGUUGUCUUUGCAGCGUGAUGGCCUCCUUUCUCACAGCCCUGUGUGCAACUAUGUCAGUUGUCUUUGCAGCGUGAUGGCCUCCUUUCUCACAGCUCUGUGUGCAACUAUGUCAGUUGUCUUUGCAGCGUGAUGGCCUCCUUUCUCACAGCCCUGUGUGCAACUAUGUCAGUUGUCUUUGCAGCGUGAUGGCCUCCUUUCUCACAGCCCUGUGAGCAACUAUGUCAGUUGUCUUUGCAGCGUGAUGGCCUCCUUUCUCACAGCCCUGUGUGCAACUAUGUCAGUUGUCUUUGCAGCGUGAUGGCCUCCUUUCUCACAGCCCUGUGUGCAACUAUGUCAGUUGUCUUUGCAGCGUGAUGGCCUCCUUUCUCACAGCCCUGUGUGCAACUAUGUCAGUUGUCUUUGCAGCGUGAUGGCCUCCUUUCUCACAGCCCUGUGUGCAACUAUGUCAGUUGUCUUUGCAGCGUGAUGGCCUCCUUUCUCACAGCCCUGUGUGCAACUAUGUCAGUUGUCUUUGCAGCGUGAUGGCCUCCUUUCUCACAGCCCUGUGUGCAACUAUGUCAGUUGUCUUUGCAGCGUGAUGGCCUCCUUUCUCACAGCCCUGUGUGCAACUAUGUCAGUUGUCUUUGCAGCGUGAUGGCCUCCUUUCUCACAGCCCUGUGUGCAACUAUGUCAGUUGUCUUUGCAGCGUGAUGGCCUCCUUUCUCACAGCCCUGUGUGCAACUAUGUCAGUUGUCUUUGCAGCGUGAUGGCCUCCUUUCUCACAGCCCUGUGUGCAACUAUGUCAGUUGUCUUUGCAGCGUGAUGGCCUCCUUUCUCACAGCCCUGUGUGCAACUAUGUCAGUUGUCUUUGCAGCGUGAUGGCCUCCUUUCUCACAGCCCUGUGUGCAACUAUGCCAGUUUGCACGCAGAUUUCAGACUUUUUAAGAGGCACGAUACUGCCUGCAGGACACUUUCAGCAUUGAUAAAUCUCACUGUUCAUGUUGAGUGAUUUGUAUUUGCAUUUUCUCCUCCCAGUAUUGUGGGCAUUCUGAUAAUCAACAUAUAUUCUGCAUACAUCAUUAAGACAAAUAUGUUAAAUGGAGGGAAUAAGCGAUAGAAAAUGGAUGGAUGGGAUGGAUUGCACUCCUUAUUUUGCUCAUUAAUCGACAAGUAUUUAGAUCAGCUUUGCGUGUACUAACAAGUUUGCAUGUGUUUUGAUACACAUAAACCUUUUGUAGAUUAUACUGUAAGUGUGGUAAACGUACUUUUUGUUGCAGGCUUCAAGACACGUAGCGGGAGACUGACAAGACAGAAUGUCAAGUAAAGGACAUCUAUUGGAAAAUACUGUUUUUAUUCCAUGAUACAUAUUUUUAAUAAACAUUCCACACGUUUAUUCUUGGCAUACUUUUCAAUCACAAUUCACAAUACAGUAAAUUAUUUGAUUUAAUGUGAAGUUAAUUAUAUUUAUAUAGCGCUUUUCUCUUGUGACUCGAAGCGCUUUACAUUGUGUAGCCCGAUAUCUAAGUUACAUUUUGAAACCAGUGUGGGUGGCACUGGGAGCAGGUGGGUAAAGUGUCUUGCCCGAGGACACAACAGCAGUGACUAGGUUGGCAGAAGCGGGGAUCGAACCUGGAACCCUCAGGUUGCUGGCACGGCCACUCUACCAACCGAGCAGAAAUGAUGGCUACCGAGCUCUACUCUUUCCUCUCUCCCUCUUGAGUACAGGUAAAAAAACCUUCUUUAUGGUGACGGCCACCUAUGUCACGUGACACAUGCUUCUGUUCCUUGUGUACACAUCCACAAACACCACGUGACAUACACACAUGAUCUGGCUCCUACAAUGACUAACAUGGCUCAUUUGCAUAAUACACUAAAAACUACUUGGGUCUCUGAGGCAGACGAUGAGAGUCCUGUAAAAUGUAUACAUACAGUGGGGCAAAAAAGUAUUUAGUCAGCAAGUUCUCCCACUUCAAAUGAUGACAGAGGUCUGUCAUUUUCAUCAUAGGUACACUUCAACUGUGAGAGACGGAAUGUGAAAAAAAAAUCCAGGAAUUCACAUUGUAGGAAUUUUAAAUAAUUUAUUUGUAAAUUACGGUAGAAAAUAAGUAUUUGUUCAACCAUUCAAAGCUCUCACUGAUGGAAGGAGGUUUUGGCUCCAAAUCUCACGAUACAUGGCCCCAUUCAUUCUUUCCUUAACACGGAUCAAUCGUCCUGUCCCCUUAGCAGAAAAACAGCCCCAAAGCAUGAUGUUUCCACCCCCAUGCUUCACAGUAGGUAUGGUGUUCUUGGGAUGCAACUUAGUAUUCUCCAAAUACGACGAGUUGAGUUUAUAACAAAAUGGAUACAUGGAUGAUACAGCAGAGGAUUGGGAGAAUGUCAUGUGGUCAGAUGAAACCAAGAUAGAACUUUUUGGUACACCAACAACAGGUAUGUCACACCUGAGAGACAUGGCACACACCAACAACAGGUAUGUCACACCUGAGAGACAUGGCACACACCAACAACAGGUAUGUCACACCUGAGAGACAUGGCACACACCAACAACAGGUAUGUCACACCUGAGAGACAUGGCACACACCAACAACAGGUAUGUCACACCUGAGAGACAUGGCACACACCAACAACAGGUAUGUCACACCUGAGAGACAUGGCACACACCAACAACAGGUAUGUCACACCUGAGAGACAUGGCACACACCAACAACAGGUAUGUCACACCUGAGAGACAUGGCACACACCAACAACAGGUAUGUCACACCUGAGAGACAUGGCACACACCAACAACAGGUAUGUCACACCUGAGAGACGUGGCACACACCAACAACAGGUAUGUCACACCUGAGAGACAUGGCACACACCAAUAACAGGUAUGUCACACCUGAGAGACAUGGCACACACCAACAACAGGUAUGUCACACCUGAGAGACUGGCACACACCAACAACAGGUAUGUCACACCUGAGAGACAUGGCACACACCAACAACAGGUAUGUCACACCUGAGAGACAUGGCACACACCAACAACAGGUAUGUCACACCUGAGAGACAUGGCACACACCAACAACAGGUAUGUCACACCUGAGAGACAUGGCACACACCAACAACAUGUAUGUCACACCUGAGAGACAUGGCACACACCAACAACAGGUAUGUCACACCUGAGAGACAUGGCACACACCAACAACAGGUAUGUCACACCUGAGAGACAUGGCACACACCAACAACAGGUAUGUCACACCUGAGAGACGUGGCACACACCAACAACAGGUAUGUCACACCUGAGAGACGUGGCACACACCAACAACAGGUAUGUCACACCUGAGAGACAUGGCACACACCAAUAACAGGUAUGUCACACCUGAGAGACAUGGCACACACCAACAACAGGUAUGUCACACCUGAGAGACUGGCACACACCAACAACAGGUAUGUCACACCUGAGAGACAUGGCACACACCAACAACAGGUAUGUCACACCUGAGAGACAUGGCACACACCAACAACAGGUAUGUCACACCUGAGAGACAUGGCACACACCAACAACAGGUAUGUCACACCUGAGAGACAUGGCACACACCAACAACAGGUAUGUCACACCUGAGAGACAUGGCACACACCAACAACAGGUAUGUCACACCUGAGAGACAUGGCACACACCAACAGGUAUGUCACACCUGAGAGACGUGGCACACACCAACAACAGGUAUGUCACACCUGAGAGACGUGGCACACACCAACAACAGGUAUGUCACACCUGAGAGACGUGGCACACACCAACAACAGGUAUGUCACACCUGAGAGACAUGGCACACACCAACAACAGGUAUGUCACACCUGAGAGACGUGGCACACACCAACAACAGGUAUGUCACACCUGAGAGACGUGGCACACACCAACAACAGGUAUGUCACACCUGAGAGACAUGGCACACACCAACAACAGGUAUGUCACACCUGAGAGACAUGGCACACACCAACAACAGGUAUGUCACACCUGAGAGACGUGGCACACACCAACAACAGGUAUGUCACACCUGAGAGACAUGGCACACACCAAUAACAGGUAUGUCACACCUGAGAGACAUGGCACACACCAACAACAGGUAUGUCACACCUGAGAGACUGGCACACACCAACAACAGGUAUGUCACACCUGAGAGACAUGGCACACACCAACAACAGGUAUGUCACACCUGAGAGACAUGGCACACACCAACAAGAGGUAUGUCACACCUGAGAGACAUGGCACACACCAACAACAGGUAUGUCACACCUGAGAGACAUGGCACACACCAACAACAGGUAUGUCACACCUGAGAGACAUGGCACACACCAACAACAGGUAUGUCACACCUGAGAGACAUGGCACACACCAACAGGUAUGUCACACCUGAGAGACGUGGCACACACCAACAACAGGUAUGUCACACCUGAGAGACGUGGCACACACCAACAACAGGUAUGUCACACCUGAGAGACGUGGCACACACCAACAACAGGUAUGUCACACCUGAGAGACAUGGCACACACCAACAACAGGUAUGUCACACCUGAGAGACAUGGCACACACCAAUAACAGGUAUGUCACACCUGAGAGACAUGGCACACACCAACAACAGGUAUGUCACACCUGAGAGACUGGCACACACCAACAACAGGUAUGUCACCCAAUAUCUAAGUUAAAUUUAAACCAAUGUGGGUGGCACUGGGAGCAGGUGGGUAAAGUGUCUUGCCCAAGGACACAACGACAGUAACUAGGAUGGCACAGCGGGAAUCGAACCUGCAACCCUCAAGUUGCUGGCACGGCCACUCUACCAACCGAGCUAUGCCUGCUAAGCACUCUGCCCAUAGUUUCCCUCCUGCUCAUGCUAUGUAAGUUUUUGGUUUUUCUUUAUGUCAUGCCAUAGUGCUAGUUUUGUUUUCUAGUCAAGUUUGUUCUCCGCCCUCGUGCGCGCCUUUUGUUUGCCUUUUUUAGUGUUAGUAUGAGAAAUAAAUAUGUACUUACAUUCACGUCUUGCCCGUGCCAACUUUCCUUUGCGUCGGAAAAACAAACAAGUCCAAGUCCUGACACUUCUAAAUCACUAAUUCUUGUCUCCCUGGCGAAAAAAUAAAGUGACUUUCUUACAAGUAUCAAAUAGUUUUGGUACCGGUACGAAAAUAUUGGUAUUGGGAUGCCCUUAAACUGUAUACUAGUUAUGCCUUUGGUGGUGAAAUCCAAUAAUACAGCAUGUGCCCUUUACCUUUGACUUAAUUAAUGUGUCAUCUCUUUAGCGACAUCUGGUGGUGAAAUCAAGGCUUACAACCAGGAUAAUCCCACUCGCGUCGACAACCUGAAUGUGCUUAAAGUUAUUCCCUGUGUAAACAUCAAUGCAGGUUGAAGUUUCGGGAAAUGGUUCAACUAGGGCCAAUGUUCUGAAGAACCAAUUUGUGAGCUGAGCUCUGCGUUUCAGACAAACGGCCUCGGGUCUAGGCUCCGUCACGUGCCGGUCUGGUGGUUUGAUCGCCCCUUGGGUCAACAUGCUGGCUACGUACCACCGGUCCAUACCUAUGGUUAUCUUCAGCGGCCUGGCGCUGAUCAGCGGGGCUCUCGGCUUCAUGCUUCCUGAGACCCGAGGGAUUGAACUACCAGAUUCGACCGACGAUGCUGAGGGCAACAGAAGACGACCAGGAAAGUUGUAAAUAAAACAUACACACCGAGCCAAGUAAACUGUCGUGGAUGGUCUGUGAGUCCGAGGAUUUCCAAAACAAGACCCGCUCCUUGGUCUACAGACUGUACCAUGGUGUUGAACCACAUUUAGCUUUGAUUACCUCAUCCAUUCCUCAAGAUUCUUCAACAUCACCAUGUUUGUGACUGUUCCCGCCCCCGGAUAUUGACGACAGGUAUUCUGCCCUCGCAACGCAUUCUGAGCUUCAUGCAGCUGGUGGCUCGGUAACGGCAUGCGGUUCUUUAACCUCCUCUUAUAUUGUUUUUGUUUAAGUCAUGUUCUGUUUGGUUUUUGGACACUCCGUUCCUGCUUUUUCACUCCUGUUUUGUCACCAGAGCAACCAUUAGUUUCACCUGUUUCACAUUUUGAGUCACGCACCUGUUUUCACUAAUCACCACAGCAUUAUUUGAGCCUGUAGUUGCCAGGUAGUCAGCCUGGCGACAUCACCUCCUACACACCUUCUACGCCUUCCAUGCCGAUGAUCCAGGUUACUUUCUUGUUCAAAGUAAGUUUUUGUUAUUCAUGCCAUAGUGCUAGUUUUUGUUUUACGACCAUAGUUUUGCCUUAGAGCAAGUUUUAUUUUCAUAGUCAAGUUUUCAUACCUCCUCUGUGAGCGCUUUUCGUUUGUUCUUUUUUUGAUUAAAUUAAAAGAUGUCCUUACCUUCA